AUUUUUCUCUAUAAUUUGAUAUGCAUUUUGCUAAUAAUUUUAAAUAUAUUACAUAGACAUUUUUAUCAAUAGUCAAUUAAUUAUAUGUACACACUUUUAUUUGUACAGCAUAAUAAAUAUUCAUAUUUAUAACAAAUUUAUACAAUUCAAUUUAUUAUUUAACAACAUAUCUCAAUUUUUUUAUAUAAUACAUAUAUUUGUAUAUUUUUUACUAUUUGAUUCGUACACUUAGUUUUGUACAACAUUUUUAGUGUACAAAUAAAUAAAUGUACACAGCGUACACUUACAUCUGUACACUAAAAGUGUUGUACAAAUUUAAGUGUACGAAUCAAACUAUGAAAAGUCACUACUUUGCAAAUCGUGAAUACCCGAUACAUGUUUGUACGUGUUUAUUGUUAGACGAUUUUAUUUUGUACGUUGCAUUAGUUAGACAUAAAAUACAAUAUGUAUGUCUGAAAAUAUUUAUUUGCUUGACGGUUUUAAUUUGUAAUUUUCACCUAAGCUACAUGGAAUCGUAAGCGGAUAUUCGGAAGCAUUUGGAAGCGGAGAAACGAGUUUUUCUAAAAAAAUUAGGAUGCAUGUAUAUAUUGGAAGUAUGUGUAUAAAUUAUAU
This 612-nucleotide small RNA is filed under the name Arabidopsis thaliana (thale cress). RNAcentral's name for it is "ATSL065720". The stretch from base 215 to 333 matches the Rfam family "mir-5014 microRNA precursor family". Lineage: Eukaryota; Viridiplantae; Streptophyta; Magnoliopsida; Brassicales; Brassicaceae. The record is from RNAcentral.